Molecule: long non-coding RNA, 1066 nt
Organism: Zonotrichia leucophrys gambelii
Lineage: Eukaryota; Metazoa; Chordata; Aves; Passeriformes; Passerellidae
Exons: 7
Source: RefSeq, a predicted model, not a curated record
CGCCAACAUGGCUGAAGAGGGGGAAGAGGACAGAAGGAAGCAUGAAAGCUAAGAAUUCAUCUUCAUAUCUCAUAAAGCAGGAGCAGAGGAAGUUGACUGCUAACAUAAUUAGCAGAUGAUUGCACGGGGGAGGCUGAAAUCUUUAACAGCUGUUUCAAAGCAUUCUGCACCAAAUCUUCUGUGCUGCAGAGCACUUCCAGCUCUUGAAUGGCAUUCUCUCCAAUGACACAGAUUAUGGGACCAUGGAGUGGAGGCCUCCACGAAGGACUUAACUUGUUCAUUUACUUGGAAAAAAGGUGUCUGAUCCGUAACAGGGACCCAGACAAGAUCAACGUAGAAGGAUGCAGUGAGAAAUGGCUUGCCCGGUACACACAGCAAGCUUUCCCAGGAUUUAGGGAAACUCAAACUUUUCAACUACUACUAGUCUGAUUGCAAGCAACUGACCAACUUUGAACAUGUCACCUCUUCAGCAGGAUCCUGAGUGGGAAUAAUUCCAUCUCCUCUCCACUCUAAAAAACCAACAAGCAUCCGAAAACCAGGAGAUGGACUCUACCAGCAAAAAGCAAGCAUUAUGCCAGAAAAGGCACAUGGGAAGGAGAAAAGAGAUUCCCCAAGGAUAAACAGACUGGGAAGAUCAAAAAGAGAAUGGAACUAAGACAAGACAGAGCUUGGCUGGUAAGAGACCAGAAGUUCACAGAUCACACAGAUGGAAAACCCUUAGCAAACAUCACACUGCCAGAGCUGAGAGCAAGUGCAAUUAAAAAGUUGCAGUGAACUGGAAGCAGGCAGAAAAAUUUUUGCAUCUCAGCCAAAAAGUCCAACAACUAAAAUGAACUAUCCUUGAUCACUUGCAGCCUAUAGUAGCUAUAAGGGUACUUUAACUGUGUUUCAGUAUUCAGAUAUUCCAUUCAUAGCUAACAUCCAUUCAACCAAAGGGUUACAAACCCCUCUAUAUUGCACACUGCUUAGAACAGAACACAAAGGAUGUGCUUCACCAAAACCAACCCAGAACCAUUUACCUAUGAGUGCAAAGAAAAGACAAUAAAGCAGACAAAGAUAAUAUAUA